RNAcentral lists this ribosomal RNA (535 nucleotides) under Listeria monocytogenes. RNAcentral describes it as "partial 23S ribosomal RNA". It matches the Rfam family "Bacterial large subunit ribosomal RNA", at positions 1 to 521 of the family's 2925-position model. Lineage: Bacteria; Bacillati; Bacillota; Bacilli; Caryophanales; Listeriaceae. The record is from RNAcentral. RNAcentral also lists the same sequence under 1 other name.
AGUAAAUUGGUUAAGUUAGAAAGGGCGCACGGUGGAUGCCUUGGCACUAGGAGCCGAAGAAGGACGGGACUAACACCGAUAUGCUUUGGGGAGCUGUACGUAAGCGUUGAUCCAGAGAUUUCCGAAUGGGGGAACCCACUAUCUUUAGUCGGAUAGUAUCCUUACGUGAAUACAUAGCGUGAGGAAGGCAGACCCAGGGAACUGAAACAUCUAAGUACCUGGAGGAAGAGAAAGAAAAAUCGAUUUCCUGAGUAGCGGCGAGCGAAACGGAAAGAGCCCAAACCAAGAAGCUUGCUUCUUGGGGUUGUAGGACACUCUAUACGGAGUUACAAAAGAAAGUUAUAAAUGAAGCGGUCUGGAAAGGCCCGCCAAAGACGGUAACAGCCCGGUAGUUGAAAUGGCUUUCCCUCCAGAGUGGAUCCUGAGUACGGCGGAACACGUGAAAUUCCGUCGGAAUCCGGGAGGACCAUCUCCCAAGGCUAAAUACUCCCUAGUGACCGAUAGUGAACCAGUACCGUGAGGGAAAGGUGAAAAG